AGAGCGAACGCUGGCGGCAGGCCUAAUACAUGCAAGUCGAACGGAUCCUUCGGGAUUAGUGGCGGACGGGUGAGUAACACGUGGGAACGUGCCCUUUGGUUCGGAACAACUCAGGGAAACUUGAGCUAAUACCGGAUGUGCCCUUCGGGGGAAAGAUUUAUCGCCAUUGGAGCGGCCCGCGUCUGAUUAGCUAGUUGGUGAGGUAAAGGCUCACCAAGGCUUCGAUCAGUAGCUGGUCUGAGAGGAUGAUCAGCCACACUGGGACUGAGACACGGCCCAGACUCCUACGGGAGGCAGCAGUAGGAAUCUUGCGCAAUGGGCGAAAGCCUGACGCAGCCAUGCCGCGUGAAUGAUGAAGGUCUUAGGAUUGUAAAAUUCUUUCAGCGGGACGAUAAUGACGGUACCCGCAGAAGAAGCCCCGGCUAACUUCGCGCCAGCAGCCGC
This 444-nucleotide ribosomal RNA is filed under the name uncultured bacterium. RNAcentral's name for it is "SSU rRNA". It matches the Rfam family "Bacterial small subunit ribosomal RNA", at positions 26 to 518 of the family's 1533-position model. The record is from RNAcentral.